This 68-nucleotide transfer RNA is filed under the name Nomada flavoguttata. Its description in RNAcentral is "tRNA-Pro". The record is from RNAcentral. Lineage: Eukaryota; Metazoa; Arthropoda; Insecta; Hymenoptera; Apidae.
CAAAAAAUAGUUUAAUUAAAACAAUAAUUUUGGGGAUUAUAAAUAUUUAUAUAAAUAUUUUUUUUUGA